UUGAACGCUGGCGGCAUGCCUUACACAUGCAAGUCGAACGGCAGCACGGGAGCAAUCCUGGUGGCGAGUGGCGAACGGGUGAGUAAUAUAUCGGAACGUGCCCAGUCGUGGGGGAUAACGUAGCGAAAGCUACGCUAAUACCGCAUACGAUCUAUGGAUGAAAGCGGGGGAUCGCAAGACCUCGCGCGAUUGGAGCGGCCGAUAUCAGAUUAGGUAGUUGGUGAGGUAAAGGCUCACCAAGCCGACGAUCUGUAGCUGGUCUGAGAGGACGACCAGCCACACUGGGACUGAGACACGGCCCAGACUCCUACGGGAGGCAGCAGUGGGGAAUUUUGGACAAUGGGCGCAAGCCUGAUCCAGCAAUGCCGCGUGCAGGAUGAAGGCCUUCGGGUUGUAAACUGCUUUUGUACGGGAAUAAACCCUUUUACGUGUAAGAGGCUGAAUGUACGGUAAGAAUAAGGAUCGGCUAACUCCGUG
This 477-nucleotide ribosomal RNA is filed under the name uncultured bacterium. RNAcentral describes it as "bacterial SSU rRNA". It matches the Rfam family "Bacterial small subunit ribosomal RNA", at positions 30 to 507 of the family's 1533-position model. The record is from RNAcentral.